GCACACCCGGAGAACUGAAACAUCUUAGUACCCGGAGGAAGAGAAAGAAAAUUCGAUUCCCUUAGUAGCGGCGAGCGAAACGGGAAGAGCCCAAACCAACAAGCUUGCUUGUUGGGGUUGUAGGACACUCUAUACGGAGUUACAAAGGACGACAUUAGACGAAUCAUCUGGAAAGAUGAAUCAAAGAAGGUAAUAAUCCUGUAGUCGAAAAUGUUGUCUCUCUUGAGUGGAUCCUGAGUACGACGGAGCACGUGAAAUUCCGUCGGAAUCUGGGAGGACCAUCUCCUAAGGCUAAAUACUCUCUAGUGACCGAUAGUGAACCAGUACCGUGAGGGAAAGGUGAAAAGCACCCCGGAAGGGGAGUGAAAUAGAACCUGAAACCGUGUGCUUACAAGUAGUCAGAGCCCGUUAAUGGGUGAUGGCGUGCCUUUUGUAGAAUGAACCGGCGAGUUACGAUUUGAUGCAAGGUUAAGCAGUAAAUGUGGAGCCGUAGCGAAAGCGAGUCUGAAUAGGGCGUUUAGUAUUUGGUCGUAGACCCGAAACCAGGUGAUCUACCCUUGGUCAGGUUGAAGUUCAGGUAACACUGAAUGGAGGACCGAACCGACUUACGUUGAAAAGUGAGCGGAUGAACUGAGGGUAGCGGAGAAAUUCCAAUCGAACCUGGAGAUAGCUGGUUCUCUCCGAAAUAGCUUUAGGGCUAGCCUCAAGUGAUGAUUAUUGGAGGUAGAGCACUGUUUGGACGAGGGGCCCCUCUCGGGUUACCGAAUUCAGACAAACUCCGAAUGCCAAUUAAUUUAACUUGGGAGUCAGAACAUGGGUGAUAAGGUCCGUGUUCGAAAGGGAAACAGCCCAGACCACCAGCUAAGGUCCCAAAAUAUAUGUUAAGUGGAAAAGGAUGUGGCGUUGCCCAGACAACUAGGAUGUUGGCUUAGAAGCAGCCAUCAUUUAAAGAGUGCGUAAUAGCUCACUAGUCGAGUGACACUGCGCCGAAAAUGUACCGGGGCUAAACAUAUUACCGAAGCUGUGGAUUGUCCUUUGGACAAUGGUAGGAGAGCGUUCUAAGGGCGUUGAAGCAUGAUCGUAAGGACAUGUGGAGCGCUUAGAAGUGAGAAUGCCGGUGUGAGUAGCGAAAGACGGGUGAGAAUCCCGUCCACCGAUUGACUAAGGUUUCCAGAGGAAGGCUCGUCCGCUCUGGGUUAGUCGGGUCCUAAGCUGAGGCCGACAGGCGUAGGCGAUGGAUAACAGGUUGAUAUUCCUGUACCACCUAUAAUCGUUUUAAUCGAUGGGGGGACGCAGUAGGAUAGGCGAAGCGUGCGAUUGGAUUGCACGUCUAAGCAGUAAGGCUGAGUAUUAGGCAAAUCCGGUACUCGUUAAGGCUGAGCUGUGAUGGGGAGAAGACAUUGUGUCUUCGAGUCGUUGAUUUCACACUGCCGAGAAAAGCCUCUAGAUAGAAAAUAGGUGCCCGUACCGCAAACCGACACAGGUAGUCAAGAUGAGAAUUCUAAGGUGAGCGAGCGAACUCUCGUUAAGGAACUCGGCAAAAUGACCCCGUAACUUCGGGAGAAGGGGUGCUCUUUAGGGUUAACGCCCAGAAGAGCCGCAGUGAAUAGGCCCAAGCGACUGUUUAUCAAAAACACAGGUCUCUGCUAAACCGUAAGGUGAUGUAUAGGGGCUGACGCCUGCCCGGUGCUGGAAGGUUAAGAGGAGUGGUUAGCUUCUGCGAAGCUACGAAUCGAAGCCCCAGUAAACGGCGGCCGUAACUAUAACGGUCCUAAGGUAGCGAAAUUCCUUGUCGGGUAAGUUCCGACCCGCACGAAAGGCGUAACGAUUUGGGCACUGUCUCAACGAGAGACUCGGUGAAAUCAUAGUACCUGUGAAGAUGCAGGUUACCCGCGACAGGACGGAAAGACCCCGUGGAGCUUUACUGUAGCCUGAUAUUGAAAUUCGGCACAGCUUGUACAGGAUAGGUAGGAGCCUUUGAAACGUGAGCGCUAGCUUACGUGGAGGCGCUGGUGGGAUACUACCCUAGCUGUGUUGGCUUUCUAACCCGCACCACUUAUCGUGGUGGGAGACAGUGUCAGGCGGGCAGUUUGACUGGGGCGGUCGCCUCCUAAAAGGUAACGGAGGCGCUCAAAGGUUCCCUCAGAAUGGUUGGAAAUCAUUCAUAGAGUGUAAAGGCAUAAGGGAGCUUGACUGCGAGACCUACAAGUCGAGCAGGGUCGAAAGACGGACUUAGUGAUCCGGUGGUUCCGCAUGGAAGGGCCAUCGCUCAACGGAUAAAAGCUACCCCGGGGAUAACAGGCUUAUCUCCCCCAAGAGUUCACAUCGACGGGGAGGUUUGGCACCUCGAUGUCGGCUCAUCGCAUCCUGGGGCUGUAGUCGGUCCCAAGGGUUGGGCUGUUCGCCCAUUAAAGCGGUACGCGAGCUGGGUUCAGAACGUCGUGAGACAGUUCGGUCCCUAUCCGUCGUGGGCGUAGGAAAUUUGAGAGGAGCUGUCCUUAGUACGAGAGGACCGGGAUGGACAUACCUCUGGUGUACCAGUUGUCGUGCCAACGGCAUAGCUGGGUAGCUAUGUGUGGACGGGAUAAGUGCUGAAAGCAUCUAAGCAUGAAGCCCCCCUCAAGAUGAGAUUUCCCAACUUCGGUUAUAAGAUCCCUCAAAGAUGAUGAGGUUAAUAGGUUCGAGGUGGAAGCAUGGUGACAUGUGGAGCUGACGAAUACUAAUCGAUCGAAGACUUAAUCAA
This 2743-nucleotide ribosomal RNA is filed under the name Staphylococcus aureus. RNAcentral describes it as "partial 23S ribosomal RNA". It matches the Rfam family "Bacterial large subunit ribosomal RNA". RNAcentral also lists the same sequence under 1 other name. Lineage: Bacteria; Bacillati; Bacillota; Bacilli; Caryophanales; Staphylococcaceae. The record is from RNAcentral.